Long non-coding RNA from Periophthalmus magnuspinnatus, 2656 nucleotides. RefSeq lists it as uncharacterized. NCBI's taxonomy places the organism in Eukaryota, Metazoa, Chordata, Actinopteri, Gobiiformes, Gobiidae. The transcript has 5 exons. The record is from RefSeq and is a predicted model, not a curated record.
GUCAGUCCGGCUCAGAUGCGACUGGAACACAGCACUCGACUACAACGAAGAGAAAACGACUUGUGAAGAAGCAAAGAUGGAAGACUCCGGUGCAUCGCGCGUGGAAGCAGGAGGACAACGUGUUUUUAUCCCCAAAAUGAGUGACUGCUGUACGUCACCAGGAUAAUGGGGGAUAUGGACAGCGUUCAACAGGAUGUGCCAUGGUGCCACUAGCAGUUCUCAGUGCCAGAGAUCGGACACACCAAACGGGUCGUGAGAUGAGACCAGAGCGAGCUGACACCGCAGUGAGCUGAUGGAGGUAGAACUGCGCCAAGUCUGAACUCUUGAUGCAGUACAUACCACACACAUGGCUUUCAUCACAGCCCCAGCCCCAAAUGCUCAUAAAUGACUAGUGUGUCCCAUCCACUCAAAUCCAAGUGGAAUCUCAACCUUUGAUGCAGUAAAUUCCAACCAGUUUCAUAAGCGUGGCAGACUAAUAUAAGCCCAACACUCAUAUCCAAACAGAACACCCUCUCCUGGACACAGCAUGCAUAUCACCCAAAGUACUAGAGGUUUCCUAGCAUCUUUCCCAUAGCAGUGGAACCUAUGCAAGACUAGACUGCUAUAAUAUUUCAGCAGAGCCAUGCCAUGAAUCGAACAACACCGUUGCACUUCAGGCUCCAGGGGGCGCUCAAGGGCCAGUAACAGAAGAAAAACAAAUCCAGUGGAUGAAAUAGGUGACAUCGGAUGCCUCUUAGGAAUACAUUCAACGCAAUUUUCAUACAUUCUAUUGGACCACAAAUGUGUCAUGUUGUUAGUUGUCAAAUCCCCCACUUUACAUCACCCUUUUGCGUUAAAUGUUGGAGGUUAUUGUGAAUGUAAGUGAUGCAGAUCUGAGAUGUCUCCCCAUAUGUCCACUAGAUGGCACAAUUCUCUUACAAAUAAGGGCAAUAUGAAGCUUGUAUUCAGUUCACAUUUCACUCAAGGAAUUUUAAGAUAACACUGUGCAUUCAAAUUCCCAGUGUCUGACCUACAGUUGACCAAAGUUAUAUAAUUCCAUGAUUUUAAGUUUUCAUCUAUAGAUUUCCUUUUCUACCUCCGUGUUGCUUGUAUUGUCUGAACACUUCAUGAGUUCAUGCUAUCUGAUUCAUCAGUAUCUUGUCUCCUGUGGUCUUUUUGUGUUUAAUGUUUUGUUUUAUUUUUAACAGAAGUUGAAUGGGUUAUAAAUCAUAAGUCAUACAUUUUUAAAGUCUUCUACCUUGGUUAUUUUUUCAAAACUCAUCUGCUCUUUGAUUUAUCAGUAAAUUUGCAAUGAGAGUAGUUUGAGCAGUCUUGGCUACUUGACUGAUCAUUGUGUUGUGCAAACAAUUGUCCACUUGUUAAUGUUUACUUGUGUCUAACAAUCACAAUUUGAUUGCACAGGGAUUCCAGGAAUAUCAUUUUUAGUUUUUUUUUUUUUAGUCUCUCUACUUAACAAUAGUUUUCUAACCCCUUAUUGUGCAAUCUGAUAAAUCAGUAAUAUUGUAAAACUAUUUGUGCGAUCUAGUCUCUUGGAUUAGUCUUGGCGUGCAUACUAUACUGCACUUGGUCCCUUCUUAAAAUAUUAAUGUUUUUGUUUUGUUUUUUCUGAUUUUGUCUGCAAUCAUAUAAUUUCAGACUUCAUUUUAUCAUUUAAAAUCAAUUCUUCUUUUGAGUGUUUACUUUGUCGUGUCACAACAUCACCACUAGAUGUCAGACUUUCCCUGCUAAUGCCUAAAUCUCAUCAGUUCUGGUUUACAGCCCAUGCUCAUUCAUUUGGCUUGAAAUAUGCAUCCCUUUUUUUUUUUUUUCUUUUAAGUUCCAUUCUGGUCUAUGUGCUAUGUUUUUGGUGGCCAUAUGCUUAUCCCUAUACCAUGGCUCAUAAACUCAUUAGAACUCAGACCCAGUUGAAUUAAAAAUAUCAAGAAAUAUCUGUCUUUGUAUCUUGUAUUUGGUAAAAGAUAAAAAAAAACUGACAAUUUUACUUUCAUUUUGGUCUAUAGGUUAAAUUCCAUCCCAGUUAAUUUCCUAGGUUUUAUUUUUGGUAUCCCACAUGCUUAUCCCAGUUCAUCAUUUACCCAUUAAAAAAACAAUGCAAUUUAGUUUCAACAAUGUGUAAUUAAAACAUGGACAUUUCUUGACAUCUGCAUUUGAUUAAAACGGCACAUUUUUAAAAAUUUCAUCAAGCAUCUAGUUUGUAACAUUAAAAAGCAAAUGCACGGACAAGCGUACAGAAAGUAGGGCAUCGCAAUGAAGAUGUAAGGAUUUGAACCCACCACUUUGGCUUUCGGCAGAUCGCAGACUUUUGAAGCGGUCGGGGUGAUGAAACCUGCAGCGCUUCGGGAUAUUGUGUCAAGAGUGUGUCUAUAUUUCUGACACAUAAAGAGAAUAUUCCAGAUUUUUUGGGGGGAGUGGGGGAGUAGUAUGAAUUUUUUGUCAGGCAUUCACCUCUGGAUGAACUCUCAGUGGAAGCAGAUACAAGUGAGGAAGAAGAGGAGGGGUAGAGAGGAAGGCAGCACUGCAAACCUCAGCUUCUUCACGCUUUGUUCUCCUCAAAAAACACACAUGCUGCAGUUUUCUCAAUUGAAUUAGUUCUACGAGCCGCCACACUUAAAUUGCGUUUGGCAAAAAGUUCACCAGUGCACUGAAACUAUUUGGU